Molecule: non-coding RNA, 67 nt
Organism: Serratia marcescens subsp. marcescens Db11
Lineage: Bacteria; Pseudomonadati; Pseudomonadota; Gammaproteobacteria; Enterobacterales; Yersiniaceae
Source: Rfam
GAAGGCACGACAUUGCUCACAUUGCUUCCAGUGUUUUUUAAGCCAGCUCGGGUGCUGGCUUUUUUUU